CCCGCUGAAUUUAAGCAUAUCACUAAGCGGAGGAGAAGAAACUAACCAGGAUGCCCCUAGUAAUGGCGAAUGAAGCGGGCAUAGCUCACGCCGCCAAUCUGGAGGUCGCCUCAGCUGACCCCCCGAAUUGUAGUCUAGAAAGGCGCCAUCGGCCGCGUCCGCCGCUCAAAUCCCUUGGAACGGGGUAUCGGAGAAGGUGAGAAUCCUGUGCCGUGGCGGUUCGCGGUCGCACGAUGCGUCCUUGCCGAGUCGGGUUGCUUGGGAUUGCAGCUUGAAGUGGGUGGUAAAUUCCAUCUAAAGCUAAAUACUGGCGAGAGACCGAUAGCGAACAAGUACCGUGAGGGAAAGAUGCAAAGAACUUUGAAAAGAGAGUUAAAGAGUGCUUGAAAUCGGCGAGAGGAAACCCGUUUGCGCCCGGUAUCGCGCCGUCGACUCAGCCGGUCCUCGGAUCGGUGCACUUUGUCGGCGCGGGUCAUCCUGGGCUGCGUGGGCGGGAGAUGCCCGGUGGGAGGGCUUCGGCGAUCCACCGGGAGCGCCGCGCGUGCGGCUCCGGCUGACUUACCCGGCGCAACCGACCCGUCUUGAA
This 586-nucleotide ribosomal RNA is filed under the name Haptolina brevifila. RNAcentral's name for it is "eukaryotic LSU rRNA". It matches the Rfam family "Eukaryotic large subunit ribosomal RNA", at positions 24 to 658 of the family's 3401-position model. Lineage: Eukaryota; Haptophyta; Prymnesiales; Prymnesiaceae. The record is from RNAcentral.